AACCUAGCACACCUGCGGUGUGUACCUGCGGAAGGAUCAUUACAUGAUUUAACAGGGAGUGGAGGCUUCGGCCAAAGCUCUGUCUGAACCCAUGUCUUUUGCGUACUUCUUGUUUCCUCGGUGGGCUUGCCCGCCGAUAGGACAACCUUAAACUCUUUGCAAUUGCAAUCAGCGUCUGAAAAACUAUAAUAGUUACAACUUUCAACAAUGGAUCU
This 215-nucleotide unclassified non-coding RNA is filed under the name soil metagenome. RNAcentral describes it as "partial contains 5.8S ribosomal RNA, internal transcribed spacer 2, and large subunit ribosomal RNA". The record is from RNAcentral.